Molecule: ribosomal RNA, 497 nt
Filed under: uncultured bacterium
Lineage: Bacteria
Description: partial 16S ribosomal RNA
Rfam family: Bacterial small subunit ribosomal RNA
Source: RNAcentral
GAUGAACGCUGGCGGCGUGCCUAAUACAUGCAAGUCGAGCGAACGGACGAGAAGCUUGCUUCUCUGAUGUUAGCGGCGGACGGGUGAGUAACACGUGGAUAACCUACCUAUAAGACUGGGAUAACUUCGGGAAACCGGAGCUAAUACCGGAUGAUAUUUUGAACCGCAUGGUUCAAAAGUGAAAGACGGUCUUGCUGUCACUUAUAGAUGGAUCCGCGCUGCAUUAGCUAGUUGGUAAGGUAACGGCUUACCAAGGCAACGAUGCAUAGCCGACCUGAGAGGGUGAGCGGGCACAGGGGAACAGAGACACGGACCAGACGACUAAGGGAGGGAGCAGUGGGGAAUGUGCGAUAAUGGGCGAAAGACUGACACAGUAAUGCCGAGUGGGAGAAGAAGGUAGUCGGAUCGUAAAACUCUUUAAAUGGGGAAGAAGAGAAGGGAGAGGAAAACGGCCGGGCUUGAAGGUACCAAAAGAGACAGCCCCGGCUAAGUACGGG